UGCCCAGGAAGGGGCAGCAGAGCAGCGGGUGACAAGGGAUGCUGGGGCGUUCUGUGGGGCCACAAUGAGAGGACGAGGACACCUGCAACUGGGUGUUUGCAUCUACUUUGUUCUGAAAAGCCUGGAGAUGUCUGUAAGAGUGCAAGCGUGACUAUAGGGAAGAUGUAUCUGGAGAAUCACAGCCACCGAAGUCAGGGAGACAUUCCUGGUUUCAUCUGUGUUUUGGUGGACAUUCAGGAUCCACCAGUGCUGGCAUCAGCACCUGCACCGGCACCAACACCUCUUCCACUGCCUGCCCUGGGCCAGCCAGACGGUCCAGUGCAAGGCACCCAGAGCCAUUGGGCAGCUUCCCCACUUGGGGAACCAGAGGCAGAUUCCAAAGUUCUGCCUCUAGGCCAUGAGGCCCGUGGAUGACCAUGGAAACCAACCCCACCAUUAUUACCUUUCAAGAUGGCUGACCUUUAUAACUGGAGAACCCAGAAUGCUAAUUUUUCUGAGAAUCCAGGAGACCUAAUCAAUCUUUUUGAAACUGUGCUCUUUACUCAUCAGCCCACUUGGGAUGAUUGCCAACAGCUCUUACAGGUUCUUUUCACCACAGAAGAGAAGGAAUGUAUCCUUCUGGAAGCCCGGAAAAAUGUCCCAGGGAACACUGGUGUUCUGACCCAGAAUCCAGCUGACAUUGAUGCUGGAUUUCCUCUUAUCUGACCCACCUGGGAUUACAAUACAGCUGAAGGUAAGGGGUGCCUGUUGGGAUCUGUAAGCAGGCAUCUCUACAGCCAGCCCUGAGGGACUUGACAAAUGGAACAUCAGGCAUCUGUGAGGCCACCUAUGGACCACCUGCAUACCACCUAAAACCAGCUGUGCAUGCUCUGGGUCACCUUAUCAAGAGAACUCACACCACCACCACCACUCUUCUCUUCCCUACCCAGAGACGGUUUCUGCGACCCCUUCCCUUAAUAAACCUCCCACGUGGAACCAGUCAUGUGGCAUGAUUUGUGAACCCGCCGUGUCACUUUGCUGCACAAUCCUGGCCAAAA
Molecule: long non-coding RNA, 1037 nt
Organism: Meriones unguiculatus (Mongolian gerbil)
Lineage: Eukaryota; Metazoa; Chordata; Mammalia; Rodentia; Muridae
Exons: 3
Source: RefSeq, a predicted model, not a curated record